Molecule: small RNA, 117 nt
Filed under: Pongo abelii (Sumatran orangutan)
Lineage: Eukaryota; Metazoa; Chordata; Mammalia; Primates; Hominidae
Description: Metazoan signal recognition particle RNA (ENSPPYG00000036102.1)
Rfam family: Metazoan signal recognition particle RNA
About the family: The signal recognition particle (SRP) is a universally conserved ribonucleoprotein. It is involved in the co-translational targeting of proteins to membranes.
Source: Rfam by way of RNAcentral
GCUGGGCAUGGUGGCUCAUGCCUGUAAUCCUAGCACUUUGGGAAGCUGAGGCGGGUGGAUCACUUGAGGCCAGGAGUUCAAGACUAGCCUGGCCAACAUGGUGAAACCCCGUCUCUA